Molecule: long non-coding RNA, 794 nt
Organism: Venturia canescens
Lineage: Eukaryota; Metazoa; Arthropoda; Insecta; Hymenoptera; Ichneumonidae
Exons: 4
Source: RefSeq, a predicted model, not a curated record
UACGUGAUCUGGUGGGCCCCUUUACGCGCUCUAGUGGUGGCCUAUAACAGAGGCAUAUUAAGUGGUCAACGAGUGCUGGGUGUUGUGUAUGAGGAGUUACAGCGCCGCGGUGUUUUAGAAGCUCCCCGCGUAAGAGGCCUUGUCGAUGAAAUCAGAUGUAAGUACCAUUAGCUCGAUAAAUCACUGUUGUUGGCGGUUAGCAAUACAGCAGUUAUUUUUACCAUAGGCUAUCGGCAGUUUUACGAUGCGGGGAGUGACGAAGAAGAGGCUCUCGCUGAGGCGACGAGAGCUGCGGAGGAAACGGAUCUAGAGCGUCAAACCGUCCUCUACCAACCGCUGCAUGAGGAGGGGGUAGGGGAAGAGCCUAGAGCGAGCACCUCGGCAGCCCCGGCCGAGCCGAUACCGCAGGGUUUCACCAUAGGCCAUCGGCAGUUUUACGACGCGGUGAGCGACGAAGAAGAAGAAGAGGCUCUCGCUGAGGCGACGAGAGCUGUGGAGGAAGCAGAGCAUCAAACCGCCCUCUACCAACCGCAGUAUGAGGAGAGGGCUGAGGAAGAGCCUAGGGUGAGCACCUCGGCAGCAUCGGCCGAACCGAUACCGCUGCAACCCGAGUCUGAUGACGACGAGGCGUCGACUAUUCUCAACCCCUCCUUGAUGUUUAGCGAUCGGUCUGAUAUACUGGCUGUGUACCGGCAAGCCAGAGCAAACGAUGACGACGGAGCGAUAGCGGGUCCAUCGUAUCACCACCAGCGUCAGCAGGAAGAUGACCUCGUACAGCCCGAGAAUCAGCUGGG